Molecule: ribosomal RNA, 443 nt
Filed under: uncultured bacterium
Lineage: Bacteria
Description: partial 16S ribosomal RNA
Rfam family: Bacterial small subunit ribosomal RNA
Source: RNAcentral
CCUACGGGUGGCAGCAGUGGGGAAUAUUGGGCAAUGGGCGCAAGCCUGACCCAGCAACGCCGCGUGAAGGAAGAAGGCUCUCGGGUUGUAAACUUCUUUUGUCAGGGACGAAGCAAGUCACGGUACCUGACGAAUAAGCCACGGCUAACUACGUGCCAGCAGCCGCGGUAAUACGUAGGUGGCAAGCGUUAUUCGGAUUUACUGGGUGUAAAGGGCGCGUAGGCGGGACUGCAAGUCAGAUGUGAAAACGACGGGCUCAACCGGUGGCCUGCAUUUGAAACUGGAGUUCUUGAGUACUGGAGAGGCAGGCGGAAUUCCUAGUGUAGCGGUGAAAUGCGUAGAUAUUAGGAGGAACACCAGUGGCGAAGGCAGCCUGCCGGAGUGCAACUGACGCUGAGGCUCGAAGGUGCGGGUAUCGAACAGGAUUAGAUACCCUUGUAGUC